Molecule: ribosomal RNA, 253 nt
Filed under: uncultured bacterium
Lineage: Bacteria
Description: partial 16S ribosomal RNA
Rfam family: Bacterial small subunit ribosomal RNA
Source: RNAcentral
UACGUAGGUGGCGAGCGUUGUCCGGAUUUACUGGGCGUAAAGAGCUCGUAGGCGGCUUGUCACGUCGGGUGUGAAAGCCCGGGGCUUAACCCCGGGUCUGCAUUCGAUACGGGCUAGCUAGAGUGUGGUAGGGGAGACUGGAAUUCCUGGUGUAGCGGUGAAAUGCGCAGAUAUCAGGAGGAACACCGAUGGCGAAGGCAGGUCUCUGGGCCAUAACUGACGCUGAGAAGCGAAAGCAUGGGGAGCGAACAGG